UACGUAGGGUGCGAGCGUUGUCCGGAAUUAUUGGGCGUAAAGAGCUUGUAGGCGGUUUGUCGCGUCUGCUGUGAAAAUCCGGGGCUCAACCCCGGACUUGCAGUGGGUACGGGCAGACUAGAGUGUGGUAGGGGAGACUGGAAUUCCUGGUGUAGCGGUGGAAUGCGCAGAUAUCAGGAGGAACACCGAUGGCGAAGGCAGGUCUCUGGGCUACUACUGACGCUGAGAAGCGAAAGCAUGGGGAGCGAACAGG
Molecule: ribosomal RNA, 253 nt
Filed under: uncultured bacterium
Lineage: Bacteria
Description: partial 16S ribosomal RNA
Rfam family: Bacterial small subunit ribosomal RNA
Source: RNAcentral